GUAAAUUAUUAAGAGCUAAAGGUGGAUUUCUUGGAAAUGGUAGACUAUGAAGGACGUGCCAAUCUGCGAUAAGCUAGGGGUAGCCGAUNAGGGGCUUUAAUCCCUAGAUCUCCGAAUGUAGAAAUACAACAUUUUGAAAGAUUUGUUACUUGUCGGCCAAUUCAUAACCGACAAGGGUGAACUUCGUGAAGUGAAACAUCUCAGUNGCGAAAGGAAAAGAAAGAGAAUUCGAUUCCCUCAGUAGUGGUGAGCGAAAGGGGAACAGGCCAAACCGGUUUUACCGGGGUUGUAGGACAUUUAUAUGGAAUCAGAAGUAUAGGAGAAGUCUUUGGAAAGAGACGGCAUAGAGGGCGAUCCCCCCGUAUCCGACAUGCUUCUGAUUACUGAGUGCAUCCUGAGUAGGGCGGGACACGUGUAAUCCUGUCUGAAUCUGCCCAGACCAUUGGGUAAGCCUAAAUACUAACCAUUUACCGAUAGUGAACAAGUACUGUGAAGGAAAGAUGAAAAGAACCCAGAGAUGGGAGUGAAAUAGAUCAUGAAACCUAUAGCUUACGAAGAGUCAUAGGCCAUUUAUGGCUAAUGGCGUGCGUUUUGAAGUAUGAGCCGGCGAGUUAUUGUUGCAUGCAAGGUUAAGCAAUCAAAAGCGGAGCCGUAUCGAAAGCGAGUGUGAAUAGUGCGUUUAGUAUGUGGCAAUAGACCCGAAACGGGAUGAUCUAUCCAUGGGCAGGUUGAAGGUGGAGUAAUAUCCAUUGGAGGACCGAACCGACUACCGUUGAAAUGUUAGCGGAUGACUUGUGGAUAGGGGUGAAAUUCCAAUCGAAUUCCGUGAUAGCUGGUUCUCGUCGAAAUAGUUUUAGGACUAGCGUUGGAUUAUCCGAUGCUUUGGAGGUAAAGCACUGAAUUCAUGAUGGCGCAAUCUUUGUGUACUGAAUGAAAUUAAACUUUGAAUGCCAAAGUGUCUACUCCAGCAGUGAGACUAUGGGGGAUAAGCUCCAUGGUCAUGAGGGAAAGAGCCCAGACUAACAAAUAAGGUCCCUAAAUUUGGCUAAGUGGAGAAGGAAGUCGAAAUUCUUAAACAACUAGUAUGUUGGCUUAGAAGCAGCCACCAUUUAAAGAGUGCGUAACAGCUCACUAGUCUAGUUUUUCGGCACCGAAGGUAUAACGGGGCUAAGCCAAAUACCGAAUUUUUAGACUAUUUAUAUAGUGGUAGACGAGUGUUGUAUUAGCGCGAAGGCUGAGCGUGAGCACAGUUGGAGUUAAUACAAGUAAGGAUGCCGGCGUGAGUAACGUAUGAAAGUUAAAAUCUUUCUAGCCGAUUGAUCAAGGUUUCCAGGGCAAGGGUCAUCCUCCCUGGGUUAGUCGGUCCUAAGAUGAGGCCGAGAGGCGUAGUCGAUGGGCAGCGAGUUAAUAUUCUUGCACCAGUUUAGCUAGUGAUGGGUUGACAGAAGAGGUUAAUGCGGGCGGGUUACUGGAUUCCCGCUUAAGCUGCAAGUGUUUNGGGUAGUAAAAUACGCCCGAUUUAAGCGUGAGCAGUGAAUACGAGCGAACCCUUCGGGUAGUAGUGAAGUCGCAAACAUCAUAUUCUCAAGAAAAGACUCUAAACUUAUGGCUAAUCUGUCCGUACCUAGAACGAACACANGUGAUCAGGGAGAAUAUCCCAAGGCUAUCGAGAUAACUAUAGUUAAGGAACUCUGCAAAAUAGCCCCGUAACUUCGGGAGAAGGGUGCCUAAUUUGCNUUAGGCCACAGUAAAGAAUGAGGGGGGACUGUUUAACAAAAACAUAGCUUUAUGCGAAAUCGUAAGANNAGGUAUAUGAGGNGANACCUGCCCAGUGCCAGAAGGUCAAUGAAGGAUGUUAGCUUUUGCGAAGCAUUUAACUUAAGCCCUGGUGAACGGCGGCCGUAACUAUAACGGUCCUAAGGUAGCGAAAUUCCUUGUCAGGUAAAUUCUGUCCCGCUUGAAUGGUGUAACCAUNUCUUAACUGUNUUGACNAUAGGCUCGGUGAAAUCCUGGUGAGAGUGAAGACACUCUCUUGCCGCUAUGGGACGGAAAGACCCUAUGAAGCUU
RNAcentral lists this ribosomal RNA (2067 nucleotides) under unidentified. RNAcentral's name for it is "bacterial LSU rRNA". It matches the Rfam family "Bacterial large subunit ribosomal RNA", at positions 1 to 2101 of the family's 2925-position model. The record is from RNAcentral.